UACGUAGGGGGCUAGCGUUGUCCGGAAUCAUUGGGCGUAAAGCGCGCGUAGGCGGCCCGGUAAGUCCGCUGUAAAAGUCAAAGGCUCAACCUUUGAAUGUCAGUGGAUACUGCCGGGCUAGAGUCCGGAAGAGGCGAGUGGAACUCCUGGUGUAGCGGUGAAAUGCGCAGAUAUCAGGAGGAACACCGGUGGCGAAGGCGGGUCUCUGGGCCGAAAUUGACGCUGAGGAGCGAAAGCGUGGGGAGCAAACAGG
Molecule: ribosomal RNA, 253 nt
Filed under: uncultured bacterium
Lineage: Bacteria
Description: partial 16S ribosomal RNA
Rfam family: Bacterial small subunit ribosomal RNA
Source: RNAcentral